RNAcentral lists this long non-coding RNA (3282 nucleotides) under Helianthus annuus (common sunflower). RNAcentral's name for it is "hypothetical non coding rna". The record is from RNAcentral. Lineage: Eukaryota; Viridiplantae; Streptophyta; Magnoliopsida; Asterales; Asteraceae.
UGUAGCAACAAAAAUAAAAAAAUAAAAACAAAAGACCCCCCUGUCGACCCUCUCCAUUCUCACUUUCCCCGUGUUCUCACCCUAACAUCCAUAUCUCCCUUUACCCCACUGCCAUAACCCCCCUCAUCCCUUUACCUCACUGCCGAUCACCCUCCUCCCUUUACCACACCGCCGGUCACCUCUCCUUCUUCCUUACCCACCAACCACCGUCACCCCUCUUAACACCUCCCCUUAAAACCGCCACCCUCCUCCCUUUACCUCACCGCCGACCACCUCCUCGCCGCCGCACACCCGCCGCCGGUCACCUCACCUCGUUAACCCUCUCCCUCACCUCUAGCCGCCGCUCACUUCGCCACCUUCCCCUCCUCCACAUCCGCCGUACACCGACGACCACCCCCUCCCCAUUCUUCGCCGGUAAACGCCUCCUGCCGCUCACCAUCCCCCACACCCUUCCCACCUACCCGCACCGACCACCUAACCCAGCUUUAUCACCGCCGCCGACCACCUACAUCACCCCCUCCGCCGUAAACCCUUCCUCACCACUCGCCGGCCACCCCACUUCCUCCACUACCGCCGACCACCUCCUAAACCCACACUUACAGCCGGAUUCAAUUUGGGGAUCAAACUUUAAUCGAACAAUUUUCUUUGAUCUUCUUGCUCGCGCGAUUCUCAGGGUAUUGCUUGCGGGUUGGAUUCGGUUGGGGGAAUGGAAUGCCAGGUGCAGGAACUUCGAGUCGGGCCAACAAGAAACAAGGCUGAGACACUCGCUCAGGAAAGGGCCCAGUGGGACACAGGCGGGUGAUGAGGUGUUGGGUGAUGCGGAGUAGAGCGAGGAUGCAGCGAGGAUGACAACUUAUAUCUUUUAUUUAUUUUUUUAUCUUUAUGCUGUUUUUAAUCCUCGUCUAUUGGUUUGUACUUAAAUACAUUAAACAGGUUGGAUGGGUUUUGGGGUUGGUUGAAACACUUGUGGAUAGUUGUUGAACGUGAUAUUAUAUAUUAUCUUUUGCUAGUGUUUGCGUGAUUAGGCUGGUAUUUGUAGCCGCUUUCGUUCGUGUGUCCGAGGUUAGGAGUUGUUUGCUGAGCGCGUAUCGAAUUGGAGGGCUUAUGUGGAAACGACUGGCACUUUGACAGUCUCACAUACUCAGCUAAGUCGUUUCCCUUUUUGUUGUUAUACAUUAUUUUUAUUUAUUUCGUUUGUAGUUUUUAUUUUUAGGUAGUUGUAGAGUCGUAUUUUCGUUCUUGCAUUAGGGACAAUGCAAUCUCUAAGUGUGGGGAUGGGAUACAUGUAAAUAAUCGAGUCUUAAUUAUUGAAAAAUACAAAAAAAUUAAAAAAUUGAAAAAAUCCAAAAAAAUUGAAAAAUCAGAAAAUGUCUUUCGAAUAAAAAAGAAGUUUGCAUUUUUAAACGGAAAAUGAUAGAAAUGAUAAAUGUUUGCUCGGGGUCGAAUAAUAAUAAUAUGAGAUUAUAAUAAAUCGAGCUUGCGUCUAGUUAGGGAUGUGUGGAUAGGCCCGGGUUUGGUUUUAAGUCCCUUUGAGCUAAUAUACCUUAAUUGUCGGUCUGCCAGUGGGUUUUCGCCUGGGAAAUAUGGGAAAUUAAAACCGCCAAUAAUAGUAUAAGGGGCACCGUUAUAAGUUAAAACUGUCAGGGUUUGUGGCCAUGAAAAAAAAAGAAUAAAAGUGAGCUAGAAACUAAAUGAAAGUAACACAGGUCUAUGUAAUCUGAGUUGGGGAUAGCGACUCUACAGCCGGAAUGCCUCUGGGAUGUGUGAAAUCGAAUUGCCGAUUAAAAGUACCGAAACCUAAGUAAUCUGUGGUUGGGGAUAGCGACUCUACAGCCGGAAUACCUCUUGGUUAGGGAAAGCAUCGUCUAGACUCACGAGAAAGAAAAAGAAAAAAAAAAAGAAAAAAAAGAAGCAAAGCAAAAAUAGAAAAAAAAUGAAAAAAAAGAAAAGAAAAAAAUUUGAUUGUAAACUCUUUUGGUUUUGAUAUAAGACGGUUGGGAAUUGGUCAAAUGAUCGUUCCUUUAGUCCUAUAAAUUUGAGGCGGGAGUAGGUGGACUGUAGAUUCUAGUGUGAGGCCCUAGGUAGAUUGACCGCACUUAAAUUAAAAUCACAUGAUAAGGGCUUAGUAUUGGAUUCGGGUUUAAGGGGACAAGUAUAUUCGCAAUCGCAGCUAACGCAAGCCUUGGUUUUAAUUAAAUAUACCUAUGCUUUUGACCCGGGUGAAUAUUUGUAUAUGAUUCCGUUGCAUAAUUCUUUUUCGAGGACGAAAAAAGAGUAAGUGUGGGGAUGUUUGAUGUAUUGCAAAAUACAUCAUUUAUUCGUGUAAAGUUUGUAUAGUUUUCGUUAUAUUUAGUUUUGAUUUUCGUUAGAAUAUGUAUACUAUUGAUCAAAUCGUGUUUUGCAGGUCUUGAUGCUCAAAUAUGCGAGAAACCGAGUAAAACGAGUUAAAAUAUUGAAGUGUCAAGUCUUGAAGCAUGUUGGAAAGGUUGAAGAGUUGAAAUAGAGUUUAAAAGCUGAAAAAUCACUUUCUGGCACCCCAUCACCCACUGAGCAAGUUUCUGGCACCAGGCGAGAGUCUGAAGUUAGUUAAUGAGCUGAAAAACAAGGUGGCACCCCACCACCAAGUCCCUGAUUUUCUGGCGCCCAGCCAGAACGUUCUGAUUUGGUAAUUAUUACGAAUUUAGUAAAGGGUGUUGAUACAUAUCGUGUGGAUACGGCUCGACUCGACUCGGUUCGACUCGGCUACGAAGUGAAGGCCGUAGUCAAGACAACCUCCUGUCUUGACUCGGUAUGCGUUUUACUUUGUAAAGUUAGAUGUAGAUGCAACUGCGUGUGUGCACUUUGCAUUUAGAUUAUGUUUAUUAGUUGUCUGUUUGUUGUUGGCUCAACAUGUCCAAGCCCAAGCUCUAGUGUCUUGGCCCAUAACAUGAGGAAGUUUAGGCCCAAUCACAAAUGGGACGAAAUUAGAAGGUCCAUCAAAUGAUGAAAACACUAUUGUGAUGAAAACCCUUUUGGUGAAAACCAAAAGGGACGAAAACACUAUGGGACGAAAUCAAGGGAUUUUGUCCAGAUCUUAGAUUUCGUCAUGUGUUUUUGUGGGCCAUUUGAUUUCGUCAAGCAUGUUAGUAUAUAUUCACAGACAACAGACAUAACACUUAGAGAAGUCCGAAUAGAUUUCACUGAGCGAACACAUUGUAACACACACUGAGAGUUUACAGAGACCAUUUGUAAACACCGCAUUGUAACCGUUUUCUAGCGUUAAUACAUUGAGUGUUAAUCGUU